GUCUGAUUAGACAGGAUUUCAGUGGGAAUUUCUCUGGAGCUGGAAUACUGAAGUCAUGCUGACUUUUUGUGCAAAGUGAAAAUGGCACAGACUCCUAGACACAUCCAUUCACAUACCAAUGGAUCCAUGCAAUAUUUGCUCUUGUAUUUGCUUUGAGAAUGUCACAGCAGCACAGAUACUGCAGUUAGGUGCAUGGCUGUGGUGAAGCACUUUGAUUUAUUUCCCCAGACUACAAGGACUUUUUCACUGCCUUCUGCUAUCAGCUAAGAAAAAGGAGCUUUUUAUUUUCACAGUGGCACUCCAAGCUUUCUCAGAUCUCUGAAAUGAGUGAUCCAGAUGUUAAAGGACACAGCAGGACUCAAUGGGGAUUUGGAAAAGACUGGCAAAUAGGUACACAAGACUGUCCUCUGAGUCACACAAUUUAGUAAACUGUGAUUAUACUAAACCCCAAAUCAGAAAACUGGGAAAUUAUGGGAAAAUGUCUGAAGGCAUGUUGGAAUGUUUAUGAAAGAAAAUAGAAGAAAGUCAAAUUUCCAGUGUUUCCAUAUAAUGCCUGUCAAGUUUGUUUACAGAAGCCUCACCCCUGGAGCAAGCAAGAUAACCAAAGUAACCUGGUCAAAGACAAGGAAGAAAAGACUUCAAAUACGGGAUGAUGGGAUCCUGCAGAGGGAACAUGGACUCCUUAAUCACUCAGUAUUGUUUCUCAGGGGAAAGUUUCUCAUCUAUCCCUUUUUUCCCCCUCUUCUUACCCACAGAUAAAAGGUGUAGCCCCCUUGCCUUUACAUGCCUGCCCUUUCCAUCCUUCCCCACUCCGGCAUUUGAAUGCAGUUUUUCUGUAAAACACAAGCAGUAAACUCAAAGGAGGGGGAACCCCCCCCGCCCCCGAUAAAUAUAUCUAAAUGGGUAUAUUCCCUUUUCCCAAACAUUCUACUGAUUAUUUUCCCUAAAACAUCUACUUUUUUGUUCUGUCAGUCCCUAGCCGCUCUCCUGGCCUUGUUGAAAGCUUUUUAAUUCAGAGCCAAAGAGGAGGCCAGCUGACUGCAGGCAGGGCCUCACCUCAAUCUGCCUCCUGCAGCCUCAGCCCUCUCUGAGAGGGAUGGAUCACUUAAUUGUAAUUAUACUGCGCCAGCGUUUGCCUUUGCAAGUGCAGCAACUUUCAUCAAAGCACUUUUCGAAUAUAAGAGACAAGUACAAUUUCAAAAUAGAGCAGUUUGAACCAUUCUAUUUAAUCCAAUAAAAUGUAGUGGCAAAUGGUAUUUAAAAAAAAA
This 1268-nucleotide long non-coding RNA is filed under the name Cyanistes caeruleus (blue tit). RNAcentral describes it as "lncRNA (ENSCCEG00000001029.1)". Lineage: Eukaryota; Metazoa; Chordata; Aves; Passeriformes; Paridae. The record is from RNAcentral.